Molecule: transfer RNA, 71 nt
Filed under: bovine gut metagenome
Rfam family: tRNA
About the family: Transfer RNA (tRNA) molecules are approximately 80 nucleotides in length. Their secondary structure includes four short double-helical elements and three loops (D, anti-codon, and T loops).
Source: RNAcentral
GGGUUAUAGCUCAGCUGGGAGAGCGCCUGAUUUGCAUUCAGGAGGUCGUGGGUUCGAUCCCCAUUAACUCC